GUGAAUCAUCAAAUUUUUGAACGCAUAUUGCACUCUCUGGUAUUCCGGAGAGUAUGCCUGUUUGAGGGUCAGCCUAAAAAAAAUCGACUUAGUCGCUGUUUCGCGUUGACAUUCGUCGGAAAUUGGUUCCUCUUAAACCUUUGUGUUUUUUAAUCGGCUUAAAAUUUUCUUUACGUUUCCACGAACGUUUCUAAGAUUUCCUUACACGUUUAAGGUAUCGAUCUUUCUUCUACGUUGCCGUUGCAUCUGAUCGCGUCCAUA
This 261-nucleotide unclassified non-coding RNA is filed under the name Glomus sp. Its description in RNAcentral is "partial contains 5.8S ribosomal RNA and internal transcribed spacer 2". The stretch from base 1 to 71 matches the Rfam family "5.8S ribosomal RNA", at positions 84 to 154 of the family's 154-position model. The record is from RNAcentral. Lineage: Eukaryota; Fungi; Glomeromycota; Glomeromycetes; Glomerales; Glomeraceae.